This 468-nucleotide ribosomal RNA is filed under the name uncultured bacterium. RNAcentral describes it as "partial 16S ribosomal RNA". It matches the Rfam family "Bacterial small subunit ribosomal RNA", at positions 28 to 507 of the family's 1533-position model. The record is from RNAcentral.
GACGAACGCUGGCGGCGUGCUUAACACAUGCAAGUCGAACGGAAAGGUCCUGCUUUUGUGGGGUGCUCGAGUGGCGAACGGGUGAGUAACACGUGAGUAACCUGCCCUUGACUUUGGGAUAACUUCAGGAAACUGGGGCUAAUACCGGAUAGGAGCUCCUGCUGCAUGGUGGGGGUUGGAAAGUUUCGGCGGUUGGGGAUGGACUCGCGGCUUAUCAGCUUGUUGGUGGGGUAGUGGCUUACCAAGGCUUUGACGGGUAGCCGGCCUGAGAGGGUGACCGGCCACACUGGGACUGAGAUACGGCCCAGACUCCUACGGGAGGCAGCAGUGGGGAAUAUUGCACAAUGGGCGGAAGCCUGAUGCAGCAACGCCGCGUGCGGGAUGACGGCCUUCGGGUUGUAAACCGCUUUCGCCUGUGACGAAGCGUGAGUGACGGUAAUGGGUAAAGAAGCACCGGCUAACUACGUG